GAUGAACGCUGGCGGCGUGCCUAAUACAUGCAAGUCGAGCGAACAGACGAGGAGCUUGCUCCUCUGACGUUAGCGGCGGACGGGUGAGUAACACGUGGAUAACCUACCUAUAAGACUGGGAUAACUUCGUGAAACCGGAGCUAAUACCGGAUAAUAUAUUGAACCGCAUGGUUCAAUAGUGAAAGACGGUUUUGCUGUCACUUAUAGAUGGAUCCGCGCCGCAUUAGCUAGUUGGUAAGGUAACGGCUUACCAAGGCAACGAUGCGUAGCCGACCUGAGAGGGUGAUGGGCCACACGGGAACUGAGAAACGGUCCAGACUCCGACGGGAGGCAGCAGUAGGGAAUCUUCCGCAAUGGGCGAAAGCCUGACGGAGCAACGCCGCGUGAGUGAUGAAGGUCUUCGGAUCGUAAAACUCUGUUAUUAGGGAAGAACAAAUGUGUAAGUAACUAUGCACGUCUUGACGGUACCUAAUCAGAAAGCCACGGCUAACUACGUG
RNAcentral lists this ribosomal RNA (497 nucleotides) under uncultured bacterium. Its description in RNAcentral is "partial 16S ribosomal RNA". It matches the Rfam family "Bacterial small subunit ribosomal RNA", at positions 28 to 507 of the family's 1533-position model. The record is from RNAcentral.